GGGGCUGAUCGGUUUCGACUUGGGACGUUAGUUCCAGGGGAAGCGGGUCGAGAAGCCAGCGUCAUCUCGUAAACGUUCGCUGGAAACCUAUAACUG
RNAcentral lists this transfer-messenger RNA (96 nucleotides) under Actinomycetota bacterium. RNAcentral describes it as "Actinobacteria bacterium partial transfer-messenger RNA". It matches the Rfam family "transfer-messenger RNA", at positions 1 to 93 of the family's 374-position model. Rfam says of the family: Bacterial tmRNA, also known as 10Sa RNA or SsrA, is named for its dual tRNA and mRNA-like properties. Its role is to liberate the mRNA from a stalled ribosome. To accomplish this part of the tmRNA is used as a reading frame that ends in a translation stop signal. The record is from RNAcentral. Lineage: Bacteria; Bacillati; Actinomycetota.